This 73-nucleotide transfer RNA is filed under the name Camelus bactrianus (Bactrian camel). It matches the Rfam family "tRNA". Rfam says of the family: Transfer RNA (tRNA) molecules are approximately 80 nucleotides in length. Their secondary structure includes four short double-helical elements and three loops (D, anti-codon, and T loops). RNAcentral also lists the same sequence under 2 other names. The record is from Rfam by way of RNAcentral. Lineage: Eukaryota; Metazoa; Chordata; Mammalia; Artiodactyla; Camelidae.
GAAGGUAUAGCUCAAAUGGUAGAGCACAUGCUUAGCAUGCACGAGGUCCUGAGUUCAAUCCCUAGUACCUCUU